CCUACGGGAGGCAGCAGUGGGGAAUAUUGGGCAAUGGGCGCAAGCCUGACCCAGCAACGCCGCGUGAAGGAAGAAGGCUUUCGGGUUGUAAACUUCUUUUCUCAGGGACGAAGAAAGUGACGGUACCUGAGGAAUAAGCCACGGCUAACUACGUGCCAGCAGCCGCGGUAAUACGUAGGUGGCAAGCGUUAUCCGGAUUUACUGGGUGUAAAGGGCGGGUAGGCGGGAAAGCAAGUCAGAUGUGAAAACCAUGGGCUCAACCUGUGGCCUGCAUUUGAAACUGUUUUUCUUGAGUACUGGAGAGGCAGACGGGAUUCCUCGUGUAGCGGUGAAAUGCGUAGAUAUGAGGAGGAACACCAGUGGCGAAGGCGGUCUGCUGGACAGCAACUGACGCUGAGGCGCGAAAGCGUGGGGAGCAAACAGGAUUAGAUACCCCGGUAGUC
RNAcentral lists this ribosomal RNA (443 nucleotides) under uncultured bacterium. RNAcentral describes it as "partial 16S ribosomal RNA". It matches the Rfam family "Bacterial small subunit ribosomal RNA", at positions 338 to 795 of the family's 1533-position model. The record is from RNAcentral.